Molecule: long non-coding RNA, 543 nt
Organism: Poeciliopsis prolifica (blackstripe livebearer)
Lineage: Eukaryota; Metazoa; Chordata; Actinopteri; Cyprinodontiformes; Poeciliidae
Exons: 2
Source: RefSeq, a predicted model, not a curated record
AAUAAAAAAAAUAAAAAAAAGCAGUAAUAGCCUGAUAUUUGUCUGCACACCUUUAAGGGGAAUCCCAUUUGGUCAUGUAUUCACAUUGGGCUUUGUUUUAUUUUUUAUUUUUUAUCUUGAAUCAGCUGAAUCGUAAUGGGUGCAGAGCAAGGACAAACGAAGAUGACCAGAACCAAGCAUGUUAAAUGUAAUAUUAUUUAAAAUAAAGCUUGUGAAUGCUUAGUAACUUUUUAAACUCUGCAGAAAUGAUGCAGAGAAAAAGUGUCCAUGGGAACCAGAGCUGGCAAGUGGAACAGUAUAACACCAAGCUGGCUGCAGGUUCUGGAAGAGGGAGGCCAUGCCCAUGUUCAUGCAUGAAUAUCUCCAUCGCGCUUUAAAUGGCUGUGCUCCUGAUGGAUUUCCUUUCCUGAUGCAUUAUCUAUGAAGACUGCUCCCUGCUUUAAAAUCUAGCCUUGACGGAAACAAUUUAACAUUUCUUUCUCUCUUCUUCUUAGUCAAUGCUUUUCUAACCAAUAGAAAAUUAAAGACACUUUAAUCUUUAAA